GCUUUAGAGUUAGCUGCAGAAGCGACAAUGGAUGCAAUGAUGGCAUCAACAGAGGCCAUUAGAGCAUUUUGGAUUAGUUUAUCUUGUCGAAACCAAUCCUUAUACUCCGGGUUUGGCGUCUCGUGGCUGUUGGUGGUGACUAUUUCGGAUAAAAUGGCGUAGAGUUAUCAAGAUGACCAAUUUGGGCCUUUCAUGUAGUGAAAUUAUUACUCCACACAAUUUAAUGGGCAACUAAGAUGAUGGGUUGAAUUGGAUUAAAUGUUUGAACACAGUGGUGUUGACGGUAUUAGCAACUAGUGUAGAGGAACCCAUUUUUACAGAGGAAAAAAAAG
RNAcentral lists this long non-coding RNA (332 nucleotides) under Nicotiana benthamiana. RNAcentral's name for it is "long non-coding RNA (NBEN_LNC036545)". The record is from RNAcentral. Lineage: Eukaryota; Viridiplantae; Streptophyta; Magnoliopsida; Solanales; Solanaceae.